Engraulis encrasicolus (European anchovy) is the source of this 2593-nucleotide long non-coding RNA. RefSeq lists it as uncharacterized. NCBI's taxonomy places the organism in Eukaryota, Metazoa, Chordata, Actinopteri, Clupeiformes, Engraulidae. The record is from RefSeq and is a predicted model, not a curated record. The transcript is spliced from 3 exons.
CUAAUGGUAGAAGAAGGAGGCGAGCAAUUUUGGACUCACUGCCAUGCAACUGGGCGUCGAUAACCCAGCAAACAUAAAAAUAUGUCGUCAGUGCCAGUUGGUCUUCGGAGCAGUCAGGAGGCAUGGCUUUUGCUGAACGCGACGUGUUGUCUUCCAAGACAAGGUCCUCGGAGUGGACGAGGUUCACCUCAUAUAAUGGUAAGUGGCAUGCUCUUAACAACGUCAGGGUGUGUGUAAAGUAUAUUCCUAAAAGAUGACGGUAAUGAUUUGGUAAACGCUUCACCCUGUUGCCAUUGUAACAGAUAGACUGUCGCCCCGGACGUCUCCCUUUUUAAUCUCAGUUUACAGUCUUUAAUGUUGACUAUCUAAACAAAGUCUGUGGUCGUAAGAUUGAAGUUUACAUGGACGUUGUGCGAGAUGAGCGUGGGGCUGAUUGACUGGGGAAACGGCUGUGUACGGCGGCUAGAGGAGACACUGCGUCUUAAGUUAAAUUUAUUACACUUUGGAAAUUAGUACACUGCACUUCGACGAGACCAGCAUGGCGUCGCACUAAAAUAACAUCGAUGCUAUGGAGCUAAUAGUGCCAUACCGGUGGAGUGAUCUACACUAGAAUCACACUGAUACCGUGUAUUCAGACAGUUAAUACACCGAGUAAACCAACGAAAACACUUCUGAGACUCAUUCUUGUGCGUGAUUGUAUUCUCAAACACUUCAGUGCGGUGAGCAUUCCGAGAAACCAUCUCCAGUCAAUCGAGCCCCUCGAUGAUCUCUCACAACGCACUUGCUCAAUUAUGUUGAAUUAAUUGUUCCGGUGAUGUGGAAAUAACACUAAGAAGCUAGUUUAUAUGGACUUAAUUGCUUUGUGAUUGAAGAAUAACGUACUGAUUUUCCACAGGGGGAAACGUGACAAAGGGAAGGCCUUCAGGUAUUGUUUUGGCAAGCUAGGAGAACACAUCUGACAGACAAAAAGGUUUCAUCAAAGACACACAGACAGCUCCUGAAGUAAAGGACCUACACAGGACCUUCAUAUCAAGGACAUUGACUGUGUGGAUCUCGAGGUGCAGUUACCCAAAAGUUGCUACCCACGGAAUACCAGGUUUUGAGGGAUCCUGCCAGAGCAGAGAAUCAACAGAUACAUUGAAGAGGAGACUCCGACAUGACCGCCGGCAUCUUGUGUUAUUCACCCCCACCACUUGUAAUACUGAAUGCCUGAAUUGUUGUUUGCUGCUCAGACUUUGUCAACAGAUAUGGUCUUCGACAUGUUACCCUUAGGUGUGGAAACAGAUUGUGACAGUCCAGCAAAAUGAGCCAGACAGAUAGUAACACUGAAAAAGGACAACGUUGUUCCCAUGGCCUCCCACUGCAGAAGACUACAGACGUUCAGUGAAGCACAAACAGCUGUUCCUCUUGUACUUAAUAAUUUAGUCAGCUGGAUUCUAGGUGCCACUAAGGAGCCAACAGUGGAUAAUUUUGUCAACAUUUCAAUGGCAUACAUUAAAAGGGCAGCCUGUAAUUGUUUGCCUUGCCUCCAUCUUCCUUGCCACCAAGGGGUUGUAGACUGAUGCCCUAGUCCUCCUGUUUAGGUACAACCAUGCAGUUAGGCCAGUCUAUUGAAGCAUAUACUUAUGACUGUUUGUAUGUGUUGUGUAUCUAGUAAUGGAUAAAUUACCACAUGAAUAACUGCAUAUUCAUUAUAUUGAUAAUUAUAAUGGCUUCCAUUAUUGAUUAAAAAGGGAUCUACCACCACUUGCAUUAUUGUUUUGUUAUAAAUGAAGCACUGUUAGGAAUCCAGGAAGACGGAUGCAGAGGCACUCAAGGUUGCAUUUUUUUUUUUUUUUAACUUUAUUUGGCUACAAUGCCUCAGCAUCUGUCUUCCUGGACCAAGUUUGACAGCCCCUACACUGAUGAGCACCAAGGAAAAAAGGUGAAGACCCAGAAGCACUCCAAUUACCUGCUUGUGUUUGAUAAUGUUAGGAUCCAUUUAUCCCACUUUAAAUGCAUGAAUAUCACUGAAAAUUGGAAUUGUUUCCAUUUAUUUAUUUUUUUUAAAAUGUAUAUAUCAUGAAAGGUAACUUGCAUUGCCUUUUGAAGCACAGUUUAACAGUUGGACCACUUUGUAUAGCCUAUAUGAACGAUCAUUAUUGAUCUUGGAUAUUAUUGAUAUUGUAGGCCUAUUUCUAUUUGGGCUCAUGUCUUUGCCUUUGGCACCCUCAUGCAUUAUUGUUCUUCAAGAUAGAAAUUAAUCACGGUCAUUCUUAACUGUUAAGAAUCAAUCUGUCUUCCUUAGAGAUAUAUAUAUUAUAAAAACCUUAGUUUAGUACAAUUUGUGGAACGCAAGAGGACUGAUAGCUGUCCAAAUCGGCAACGUGAUUGGUUUAGCGCGGUCACGUGGUGUAUCGUGUCUCCUCAUUCAGCUAAGGAAAUAUUCCUUCUGUAAACGUCUAUACCCUUGGAUGUUUUCACGAUCCGAACCUCUCUGAAGUGAAACAUAGUGUAGCGUUUGGUAGCCAGGGAACACACAGGAUGUAGACAGAAGUGUCCGUUUAAUGGAGACAGUUGGCCACAGCCACGCCACAUAAAAAUCAUGAACAAG